CAAGACGAAAACGUCUUGCAAGUUUGUUUCCUUUUUCGUAAAACCGUUAAAACCCAGGGUGCAUUGCUGGAAGAGGUGCAGUUGCGACUUGACCUCGAGGAGCAACACAUUGCACGCGGUGUGGUGGCCUUUCUGAGCUUUUUAAAGAGUUUGCUGGAUUUUGAAGCUUUUCCAAAACUUCUUCUGCAGCUGUUUGGUAAGUUAAACUUUUGAAACUUUUUUGGGGUUUUUUGGAUUUUGGGUUGGGGUGUUUAGAAUUCAAGGACUUGGUGUUGGGGAGGGGUUUGCAAGAAUCUGGGAGCUUGUGUGGUUUUUUUUGAAUUUUUAUGAUUUUUUGUGACCAUUGGGCCAUGUUUUUUUUUUUGAAAAAAAUUUCUGGGUUUUAAAUUUCUGUGUGCUGGGUGGCUGGGGGAACAGCUGGAGAGGUGUUUGCAAGAAUCUGGGAGCUUGUGUGCUUGUUUUUGAAUUUUUAUGAUUUUUUGUGACCAUUGGGCCAUGUUGUUCUUUUUUGAAAAAAAAUUCUGGGUUUUAAAUUUCUGUGUGCUGGGUGGAUGGGGGAACAGCUGGGGAGGGGUUUGCAAGAAUCUGGGAGCUUGUGUGCUUUUUUUUGAAUUUUUAUGAUUUUUUUGUGACCAUUGGGCCAUGUUGUUGUUUUUUGAAAAAAUUUUCUGGGUUUUAAAUUUCUGUGUGCUGGGUGGAUGGGGGAACAGCUGGGGAGGUGUUUGCAAGAAUCUGGGAGCUUGUGUGCUUUUUUUUGAAUUUUUAUGAUUUUUUGUGACCAUUGGGCCAUGUUGGGUUUUUUUGAAAAAAAUUUCUGGGUUUUAAAUUUCUGUGUGCUGGGUGGCUGGGGGAACAGCUGGGGAGGGGUUUGCAACAGUUGGGGAGGGGUUUGCAACAGUUGGGGAGGGGCUGGGGGACCAGUUGAGGUUUUUGAAGACUUUGGUGAUUUUUAAAGCUUUCCCAAAACUUCUUUUGCAGCCAUUUGAGGAUUUUGAAGACUUUGGUGAUUUGCAGCCAUUUCGUAAGUUAAACUUUUAAAACUUUUUUUGGGGUUUUUGGAUUUUGGGUUGGGUGUUUGGAAUUCAAGGACUUGGUUGUGGGUUUGAAAUGCUGAUUUUUUUUUUCUUUUUCUGAGUUUACAAAGGUAACAGCUGUGCUGCCAUGGGACCCAAGAAGGCUGCUGCUGCGGAGGCCGGCGAGAGGAAGAAGGAGAAGGUGACGCUGGAGAUGAAGAAGGAGAUCAUCCGGAAGCACGACGGUGGAAUGCGUGUGACGGACCUCGCCAGGGAGUACGGCAGGAACCCAUCGACCAUCGGGACCAUCCUGAAGAUGAGGGAGAAGAUCCUUGCGACUGAUGCAGCCAAGGGAGUCACCAGGAUCGUGAAGAACCGCCCAGCUGUUCUGGAGGAGGUCGAGAAGUUGCUGCUCAUCUGGUUAGAAGAGAAGCAGCGUGCAGGGG
Podarcis lilfordi (Lilford's wall lizard) is the source of this 1459-nucleotide non-coding RNA. The record is from the annotation of a GenBank genome assembly. Lineage: Eukaryota; Metazoa; Chordata; Lepidosauria; Squamata; Lacertidae.